AGAGUUUGAUCCUGGUUCAGAACGAACGCUGGCGGCAGGCCUAACACAUGCAAGUCGAGCGCUUCACUUCGGUGAGGAGCGGCGGACGGGUUAGUAACGCGUGGGAAUAUACCCAGUUCUAAGGGAUAGCGACUGGAAACGGUGAGUAAUACCUUAUACGCCCUUCGGGGGAAAGAUUUAUCGGAAUUGGAUUAACCCGCGUUAGAUUAGAUAGCUGGUGAGGUAACGGCUCACCAAGUCUACGAUCUAUAGCUGGUUUGAGAGGAUGAUCAGCAACACUGGGACUGAGACACGGCCCAGACUCCUACGGGAGGCAGCAGUGGGGAAUCUUGGACAAUGGGCGCAAGCCUGAUCCAGCCAUGCCGCGUGAGUGAUGAAGGCCUUAGGGUCGUAAAACUCUUUCGCCAGGGAUGAUAAUGACAGUACCUGGUAAAGAAACCCCGGCUAACUCCGUGCCAGCAGCCGCGGUAAUACGGAGGGGGUUAGCGUUGUUCGGAAUUACUGGGCGUAAAGCGUACGUAGGAGGAUUAGAAAGUUAGGGGUGAAAUCCCAGGGCUCAACCCUGGAACUGCCUUUAAAACUCCUAAUCUAGAGGUCGAGAGAGGUGAGUGGAAUUCCAAGUGUAGAGGUGAAAUUCGUAUAUAUUUGGAGGAACACCAGUGGCGAAGGCGGCUCACUGGCUNGAUACUGACGCUGAGGUACGAAAGUGUGGGGAGCA
This 718-nucleotide ribosomal RNA is filed under the name uncultured bacterium. RNAcentral describes it as "bacterial SSU rRNA". It matches the Rfam family "Bacterial small subunit ribosomal RNA", at positions 8 to 770 of the family's 1533-position model. The record is from RNAcentral.